GACGAACGCUGGCGGCGUGCUUAACACAUGCAAGUCGAGCGGUAAGGCCCUUUCGGGGGUACACGAGCGGCGAACGGGUGAGUAACACGUGGGUGACCUGCCCCCAGCUCUGGGAUAAGCCUGGGAAACCGGGUCUAAUACUGGAUAUGACUCCAUGACGCAUGUUGUGGGGUGGAAAGCCUUGUGCGGCUGAGGAUGGGCCCGCGGCCUAUCAGCUUGUUGGUGGGGUGAUGGCCUACCAAGGCGACGACGGGUAGCCGGCCUGAGAGGGCGACCGGCCACACUGGGACUGAGACACGGCCCAGACUCCUACGGGAGGCAGCAGUGGGGAAUCUUGCGCAAUGGGCGAAAGCCUGACGCAGCGACGCCGCGUGAGGGAUGACGGCCUGGU
Molecule: ribosomal RNA, 391 nt
Filed under: uncultured bacterium
Lineage: Bacteria
Description: bacterial SSU rRNA
Rfam family: Bacterial small subunit ribosomal RNA
Source: RNAcentral